RNAcentral lists this ribosomal RNA (253 nucleotides) under uncultured prokaryote. RNAcentral's name for it is "partial 16S ribosomal RNA". It matches the Rfam family "Bacterial small subunit ribosomal RNA", at positions 525 to 777 of the family's 1533-position model. The record is from RNAcentral.
ACGUAGGGUGCGAGCGUUAAUCGGAAUUACUGGGCGUAAAGCGUGCGCAGGCGGUUCGCCAAGUCAGGUGUGAAAUCCCCGGGCUUAACCUGGGAAUUGCGCUUGAAACUAGCGGGCUUGAGUGUGGCAGAGGGGGGUGGAAUUCCACGUGUAGCAGUGAAAUGCGUAGAGAUCGGGAGGAACAUCAGUGGCGAAGGCGGCCAUCUGGGACAACACUGACGCUGAAGCACGAAAGCGUGGGGAGCAAACAGGA